Nerophis ophidion (straightnose pipefish) is the source of this 601-nucleotide long non-coding RNA. RefSeq lists it as uncharacterized. The transcript is spliced from 4 exons. NCBI's taxonomy places the organism in Eukaryota, Metazoa, Chordata, Actinopteri, Syngnathiformes, Syngnathidae. The record is from RefSeq and is a predicted model, not a curated record.
GGCGAAAGGUAAAUCGUGACGUCACACGUCAGUUUUGACACGGCAAUUUCGCCACAUUAGCCAACACGCACGGAGCAGGAGUCUGUAUUGUCAGUGCGGCAGAUAACUAAAGUCAAGCACACAUCGUCAUUCAAUGAGGAUAUUAACAUCCAGUUUGCACCCCUCGCUAGGAGAAGAGAGGUAUUUUUGCAUUACCAGGCAGCCAGCCCCACAAAGCCACAAAAAGGCGUAUCCUGCAAUGCCAGGGAUGGCGACAACACCAUGCCUUAACGCCCGUGCAGGGCACUGCUCCACCCAGCCACCAGACAGCCAGGACCAAACACCACUUUAUGUGAUGCUCCUCAGGGAACAGUUGAAGGCCCCGUUCGGAGUCCAUUCCAGCUGACUGCGGAUGCUCAACCAGCCGCCUUCCUCCGUACUUUUGAACAUUUUCUGCUUCCCGGGCGUUGGAGGCUCAUUGUGGGAAGACCAGAACACAUCCGCAUCCGGGUAGACGUCGCUGAAUGUGCAUACCGGGCCGUCCUUGGACAGAACACCUUUGACCGCCCCGCAGCACUCUGGGGAGAACAUCAUCAGGUUGGAAUCCACCACACUCAUAAAG